AGUGAACACUGGCGGUAGGCCUAACACAUGCAAGUCGAACGGUAGCACAGGAGAGCUUGCUCUCUGGGUGGCGAGUGGCGGACGGGUGAGGAAUACAUCGGAAUCUACUCUGUCGUGGGGGAUAACGUAGGGAAACUUACGCUAAUACCGCAUACGACCUACGGGUGAAAGCAGGGGACCUUCGGGCCUUGCGCGAUUGAAUGAGCCGAUGUCGGAUUAGCUAGUUGGCGGGGUAAAGGCCCACCAAGGCGACGAUCCGUAGCUGGUCUGAGAGGAUGAUCAGCCAAACUGGAACUGAGACACGGUCCAGACUCCAACGGGAGGAAGCAGUGGGGAAUAUUGGACAAUGGGCGCAAGCCUGAUCCAGCCAUACCGCGUGGGUGAAGAAGGCCUUCGGGUUGUAAAGCCCUGUUGUUGGGAAAGAAAUCCAGCUGGCUAAUACCCGGUUGGGAUGACGGUACCCAAAGAAUAAGCACCGGCUAACUUCGUGCCAGCAGCCGCAGUAA
This 506-nucleotide ribosomal RNA is filed under the name uncultured bacterium. Its description in RNAcentral is "partial 16S ribosomal RNA". It matches the Rfam family "Bacterial small subunit ribosomal RNA", at positions 29 to 523 of the family's 1533-position model. The record is from RNAcentral.